RNAcentral lists this ribosomal RNA (726 nucleotides) under Eremarionta rowelli acus. RNAcentral describes it as "partial 16S ribosomal RNA". Lineage: Eukaryota; Metazoa; Mollusca; Gastropoda; Stylommatophora; Helminthoglyptidae. The record is from RNAcentral.
UAGGGGUGAAAGGCCUGGCAAAAUACUUGAUAACUUGAUUGAAAAGAAAUAUUUCAAGAAUAAUAGACAAUUAAUUAAUGAUAAGGUUAAUUAAUGGAACAAAUGUUGUUUAUAACUUUUCUAACAUUGUUUAAUUACUUGUGGAAACGUUAGUUAAACAUAUAAAAUAUAUAUAUUGUUAUAUUUAUUUUCAAAGUUUAAUGAAUUUUUAAUAAAUUUUAGUAUGUUACUAUUAGUAGCUUUUUUUAAUUUUGACGAAGGAACUCGGCAAAUGAUUUGGUCAACUGUUUAACAAAAACAUAGCUAUAUGUAUUAUAUAUAUAUGGUGAUUUCUGCUCAAUGAGUAGUGUUAAAUAGCCGCAGUACCCUGACUGUGCAAAGGUAGCAUAAUCAUUUGGCUCAUAAUUGGAGUCUGGUAUGAAUGAAUUUAUGGCUAGAAACUGUCUCCUUUAAAGUUUAUUGAACUUACUAAGUGAGUGCAAAUACUCAUAUUUGAACAAAAGACGAGAAGACCCUAGAAAUUUUUAUUAAUUUCUAUAAAAAAAAAGAAAGCGUUUUUGUUGGGGCGACAUAAUAACAUAUAACUUAUUAUUAACAUAAGAACCUUUUAUUGAGUAAAUUAAAAUUACUCUAGGGAUAACAGCAUAAUUUACAAAAGUUUGUGACCUCGAUGUUGGAUUAGGGACUGUAUUAUUCAGAAGAAAAUAUAAUUUGUUCUGUUCGAAC